Molecule: non-coding RNA, 48 nt
Organism: Trichobilharzia regenti
Lineage: Eukaryota; Metazoa; Platyhelminthes; Trematoda; Strigeidida; Schistosomatidae
Source: Rfam
AUCCAGAUGAUGAGUUCCAAACAGGACGAAAUGCACCUUAUGCUGGAU